AGGACGAACGCUGGCGGCGUGCUUAACACAUGCAAGUCGAGCGGAAAGGCCCUUUGGGGUACUCGAGCGGCGAACGGGUGAGUAACACGUGAGUAAUCUGCCCUUCACUCUGGGAUAGCCCUCCGAAAGGGGGAUUAAUACCGGAUACGACCACGUACUGCAUGGUGUGUGGUGGAAACUUUUUGGGUGGGGGAUGUGCUCGCGGCCUAUCAGCUUGUUGGUGGGGUAAUGGCCUACCAAGGCUUCGACGGGUAGCCGGCCUGAGAGGGUGACCGGCCACACUGGGACUGAGACACGGCCCAGACUCCUACGGGAGCAGCAGUGGGGAAUAUGGACAAUGGGCGAAGCCUGAUCCAGCAACGCCGCGUGAGGGAUGACGGCCUCGGUUGUAAACCGUCUUCUAGCAUCGACGAAGCGAAUCCUUUGGUGAGUGACGUAGGUGCGAGAAGAAGGACCCUAACCAACUACGUCGCCACGCAGCCGC
RNAcentral lists this ribosomal RNA (484 nucleotides) under uncultured soil bacterium. RNAcentral describes it as "bacterial SSU rRNA". It matches the Rfam family "Bacterial small subunit ribosomal RNA", at positions 26 to 518 of the family's 1533-position model. The record is from RNAcentral.